RNAcentral lists this ribosomal RNA (254 nucleotides) under uncultured bacterium. RNAcentral describes it as "partial 16S ribosomal RNA". It matches the Rfam family "Bacterial small subunit ribosomal RNA", at positions 524 to 776 of the family's 1533-position model. The record is from RNAcentral.
UACGUAGGGGGCAAGCGUUGUCCGGAUUUAUUGGGCGUAAAGAGCUCGUAGGCGGUUUGGUAAGUCUGGUGUGAAAUCUCCACGCUCAACGUGGAGGGGCCACCCGAUACUGCUAUGACUGGAGUCCGGUAGAGGAGUGUGGAAUUCCCGGUGUAGCGGUGAAAUGCGCAGAUAUCGGGAGGAACACCGGUGGCGAAGGCGGCCAUCUGGCACACAACUGACGCUGUUGCACGAAAGCGUGGGGAGCAAACAGG